Molecule: ribosomal RNA, 429 nt
Filed under: Gemmatimonadota bacterium
Lineage: Bacteria; Pseudomonadati; Gemmatimonadota
Description: Gemmatimonadetes bacterium partial 16S ribosomal RNA
Rfam family: Bacterial small subunit ribosomal RNA
Source: RNAcentral
UAGGGAAUCUUCGGCAAUGGACGAAAGUCUGACCGAGCAACGCCGCGUGAGUGAAGAAGGUUUUCGGAUCGUAAAACUCUGUUGUUAGAGAAGAACAAGGACGUUAGUAACUGAACGUCCCCUGACGGUAUCUAACCAGAAAGCCACGGCUAACUACGUGCCAGCAGCCGCGGUAAUACGUAGGUGGCAAGCGUUGUCCGGAUUUAUUGGGCGUAAAGCGAGCGCAGGCGGUUUCUUAAGUCUGAUGUGAAAGCCCCCGGCUCAACCGGGGAGGGUCAUUGGAAACUUGGAGACUUGAGUGCAGAAGAGGAGAGUGUAAUUCCAUGUGUAGCGGUGAAAUGCGUAGAUAUAUGGAGGAAAACCAGUGGCGAAGGCGGCUCUCUGGUCUGUAACUGACUCUGAGGCUCGAAAGCGUGGGGAGCAAACAGG